Molecule: ribosomal RNA, 440 nt
Filed under: uncultured bacterium
Lineage: Bacteria
Description: partial 16S ribosomal RNA
Rfam family: Bacterial small subunit ribosomal RNA
Source: RNAcentral
CCUACGGGAGGCAGCAGGAGGGAAUAUUGCUCAAUGGGGGAAACCCUGAAGCAGCAACGCCGCGGGGAGGAUGAAGGUUUUCGGAUUGUAAACUCCUUUUGUUAGAGAAGAAAAUGACGGUAUCUAACGAAUAAGCACCGGCUAACUACGAGACAGCAUCCGCGGUAAUACGGAGGGGGCAAGCGUUACUCGGAAUCACUGGGCGUAAAGAGCGCGUAGGCGGGAGAGCAAGUCAGAUGUUAAAGCCUAUGGCUUAACCAUAGAACUGCAUUGUAAACUGUUAUUCUUGAGGAUGGGAGAGGUAGGUGGAAUGCUUGGUGUAGGGGUGAAAUCCGGAGAUAUCAAGAGGAAUACUCAUUGCGAAGGCGACCUGCUAGAACAUAACUGACGCUGAUGCGCGAAAGCGUGGGGAGCAAACAGGAUUAGAUACCCUUGUAGUC